This is a small nuclear RNA of Osmia bicornis bicornis, 191 nucleotides long. RefSeq annotates it as U2 spliceosomal RNA. NCBI's taxonomy places the organism in Eukaryota, Metazoa, Arthropoda, Insecta, Hymenoptera, Megachilidae. The record is from RefSeq and is a predicted model, not a curated record. The transcript has a single exon.
AUCGCUUCUCGGCCUGAUGGCUAAGAUCAAAGUGUAGUAUCUGUUCUUAUCAGCUUAAUAUCUGAUACACUCCCCAUCGGGGAGUCAGAAUAUUAACCUUAUUUUUGGAAUUGGUCGGACUCCGGGGCUUGCUCCGACUCCGACACGGGUCGUACCUGCCUUGCAGUGCCGCAGGACGCGGCCCACAUUUG